Molecule: ribosomal RNA, 496 nt
Filed under: Escherichia fergusonii
Lineage: Bacteria; Pseudomonadati; Pseudomonadota; Gammaproteobacteria; Enterobacterales; Enterobacteriaceae
Description: bacterial SSU rRNA
Rfam family: Bacterial small subunit ribosomal RNA
Source: RNAcentral
CUGCAAGGUUCGAAACGGUAACAGAACAGCUUGUCUGUUGCUGACGAGUGGCGGACGGGGAGAGUCUGGGAAACUGCCUGAUGGAGGGGGAUAACUACUGGAAACGGUAGCUAAUACCGCAUAACGUCCAAGACCAAGAGGGGGACCUUCGGGCCUCUUGCCAUCGGAUGUGCCCAGAUGGGAUUAGCUGUGGUGGGGUAACGGCUCACCUAGGCGACGAUCCCUAGCUGGUCUGAGAGGAUGACCAGCCACACUGGAACUGAGACACGGUCCAGACUCCUACGGGAGGCAGCAGGGGGAAUAUUGCACAAUGGGCGCAAGCCUGAUGCACCAUGCCCGUGUAUGAAGAAGGCCUUCGGGUUGUAAAGUACUUUCAGCGGGAGGAAGGGAGUAAAGUUAAUACCUUUGCUCAUUGACGUUACCCGCAAAAAGCACCGGCUAACUCCGUGCCAGCAGCCGCGGUAAUACGAGGGGCCGCGUUAAUCGGAAUUACUGC